CGACAAGGAAACAAGUUUCUUGUCGGCUGCUUUUUUUUGCCCCGCCAAAAAAGUACAUGUCAUUGGCAUUGUCUCUAUCAAUUGACAUUUCUCAGUUUUAGAAUUAUAACUUCCAAUUUGAAAUAGACGGAGGAGAUAGAGUACUUCAACUAAAAACAGCAACACAUGAACGAUCAACAAAUAGAAGAAACCUCGUGGUCGUUUUCAGUCAUCAUUUGUUUUCUUCAUGUGGACAUCUAAAACCAUUCUGCUGUGAAAAAUUAAGGAAACGCUUAUGGACACGGUUUUUAAUUAUCGGAUUAGUGGAUAUUACGCAGAAACGGGAGGGAUAAUUAGGCUUCUCACAAGAGACGCAUUUAUCUGGAUCAUCGCUUACUAAGUAAAAGUUGUUUUGACCUCGGCUCAUUCUAAAAGUAGAAGAAGCUUGCUUUAAAAACGUGCCCAAGUCCAAUUAGAAGCAAUCUAACUAAUACAAUUCAAAGCAUUCCGCAUGAAUUUGAAUUGACUUGCUCAUCUGCAGAACUUGGAAACCAAGAUUUCUUAUCCCUCCCGUAGUCAAAAUUGGCAAGACAUUUUCUGUAGUUCAAGAAGCAUUUGAAGCUUGGGAGGAAAUUUUCGAAAUGUCAAGUUUAGUUCAAAAAGAAUUAAUUAAUUUUCUUGAACCAGUUUCUUCAUUUAUCCAACGCACGCAGAUAAAGCAGAACCACUUCAGCUGCUUGCUUUAAUUAUGCGUGUUGAAGGUCUAUUAGCUGCUGACUGCAUUGAAACUUGAUGCCUUAGAAACAGCGAAAAAGACGAAUCUUUCAGCCAAUGAGAGCUGAUCUACCCAACGUGGUGAUGUCAUGUACAUCUCUGAUCUCAUCUACCCCACCCUCAAUGUCUUGGAUCAUACUUUUGGGACGCGUACAAUGAAAAAAACAGACCGUUAACGCAGUCAGAACCCACCUUAGGAAAUGACAUGACAACAAAUGGAGAGAUUCAAUCUUCGUGAAAAUGUAAUGGCUGCUGCUGAGGGCUCAUUCAAGAUACGCAAAACAUUGAAACCAGCAAUAGUUCCUGCAUCACGCGUUGCGUGGCGCUGCGAGUCGUUAAAAUUAGCAGGAACUGUGAUGACUGCGUCCGUCACCUCUGUCCCCAAUUAACUUCAACUUUCGGUUUUCUAUCGUCAGCCACGAAUUCGAAAGGCCAGUGCUUCUGAUCAACAUCUUUGAGUUGACGUCCAAGUAGGCGCUUUGUAUCUGAGAUUUUUGACCCUAAUUUGUAACGUCUGGCAACGCCCUUUCGGUCAGGAAAGAGACUUAAUAUUUGGAAUUCCAUACAAGAUGGUAAAUACCUGUUUCAAUUUAUUAUUUAAACAAAUUAGGAUAAUAUUGUGCUUCGAAAUCUAUAUACAUUAUAUGACUACCUUUGUGGUAUUGCAAUCUUACUCGGCAGCCACAUUGUGUACUUUCUGUAAUGUUGCUAGAAAACGGAAUAACGGUCGUAACCCCCUCAAUAUGGAGUUCAUUUAAAUCGAAUUCAUGUUCAAUGUCAGUUGUUUAUUAGAAACUGUACUUAAUUGACAUUGUUUUUCCUAAUCUGGUUCAAUCGAAUGUUGCAUUGCAAUUUCAGUUGUGUGACUUUGAUAAGACGAGCCAAAUGCAACUAUAAGAAUUAUAUUAAAGCAAUAAUAACAGUUAUUAUAAAAUAAUUUUAAAGAAAACGUGGCGCUCUGCGCCAUCUUUCAACAGCUCCGGUAAAUAGGGUUCAGAAAAGUGAAGUUGUCUCGUUCACCAGUAGAAAUUACAGCUCAGGUUAUCCCUUUUUCCUCUACGCAAUUGAAUUUGUGAUUAAACUCACUUUAUCUCACAGUAAAGAAAAACGUAUAAAACUAAAUAAAUAGCGAUUUUAUAUUUACUUACCACAGUGAUGAGUUUUGAUUGCACGCCCUUGUAAUAUUCGUUAUACUUUACGACCACGGUAGCCCUGUAGAAAUAAAAAUAACCAUGCAGGAUUAAAUUCCAUUAAAAUAUCGUAUAAUCUAUUUCGUAAAACUAACAUCAUAACGACUUGUCCUUUGAAGUUAGCAGGUGGAGUCCACAGAAAGGUCUCAGAAGUUUUAUCAGUACGGCUUGUAUGAGUCACGGCGUUCUAAAAAUAAUCUAAGGUGUAUUAAGAUUGCAUUCCUUUUUUAAAUUAAAAUUUUAAUAUCUUACCAUAACACCGCCGGGACAGUUAAUUGUUUUGCCAGUAUUUGAUUCGCCUGCGACAGUGAAAGUGCCAAUAGGUCUGAUACUGUUGCCUGAUCGAGCUUGAAUCAAAUAGCCCUUGAAAGCCGGCACACCGUUGGUUUUUAAAGUCACUGUACAAUUAAAUUAAAAAGAACGUAUUAAAAUUAAGCGUAGAAGAUUGCCUAAUUUAUGCACUUCUCGCGUUUUUGAACAUAUAUGUAUAAAUAUUUGGUAGAAACAUAAAAUUUUAUUUACCUGUUAUAGGGGAUCUCGGACUGGCUUGCUCGCUGCUGAGUACUAUACUAAAAGGAGCAACCCCUUGUUGGCCAAAGAUGAAUGGAAUAUGGAAAGGCGCCAUACUUGUACACGAACUAACAGGAGCGCCACUUGGCAGUGCCGCUACCUGAGCCGCAAAAAGUACGCUCAGAAUGACGAGCGAAGUCAACAUCCUAAAUGUUUGUAGCAGUUAAUUGUUACUUAAGGUAUAAUAUUGAAAAAUUUCAAAAUUUUAUAACUCAUGCUGUACCUCAUGAUUUGCAGACUAAAACGGACCAAAGAGGUGUAAAGGCUCCACCGUUUUUUGAAACGACUGGACCGACCAACGAGUCGGUAACUAAAGACAAACUGGAGCUCUGUGGCGCUUCUAUUAGUAUGGUGAGACUACGAAUUAUAUAAACAUAACGGAUCACUGGAUUGACGAGUGAAGAGGAUCUUCAGUUAGAGAGAUUGAACUCUGUGUCGCAAUGAGGGAAACACCAAGGGGCAUCAAAGCCGGAUUCUUCUUUUUCUGAAUAACUCAAAUAACACAUUAAUCUGAAACGAACACUUUUUGUUUGAAAACUUGUUUUUUGGUUUUUUACCCAUAGGUUUUCGAAGACUCGAGGAAAAGAAAAAACAACAACAACUAGAUUCAAAGAGAAACCGGUAAAACUAGUUUACCGGUUUUACCACUAAAUAAGCAUUGCCUUUUAAAUCAAUGAACUGAAAAAACUUGGUGGACGUAACAUAUCGGGAAUCAGAAACAAAGUGAAUUGCAAACAUUUCAACUGUUUUUACAUUGGGGCCAUUGUCAUCGUUAUGCUAUGUUAAAGGUAUCUUAUAAGCAGGUUCAGUGAUUUUCAUUUUGUCUGUAAUAAUUAUUUUAGAUGACUCCGAGGAAGUGCACAAUGUCACGUAUGGUUGAUGGAAAAAAGAAAGUAUAUUUUCGUCAUUUUGGGCCGUCUCUUGCGAUCAUCAGUUAUCUUCGCCUGCGUUGGAGGUCAUCACCAUCUUUAUCCAACUAAUAUUGCUGUCGCCCAGGACAACUUUUCUUUUUAGGGCUGGAAAUUUUUUAUCGCUGGUAAUCUUUUUGGAAAUCAUGUGAGGUGAUCGGUCAGAUGUACAGUGACUUCGAUUUUAUUUCUUUCGAGUUAAGUGGUAGGAAACCCAGAAAUGUUUUAUGUAAUCAAUCACGUACGCUGAGAGCCAGCCACUUCAAAAUUGAAUCUGAAAUCACCUCUCGUGGACUCGGUGAUAAAUCGCUCCCAUGGCUUACCUCGCAAUUACUAACAGAACCAGUAAGAAAAUUUUAAUUCUUAACGGGACUAGGGAUUCAAUGGGUGUGUUAAGUGAUUCUCUCUGCCCGAGGUACCGACUUUAAAAAUAUUGCCAAUUUUUUUAACAGUUUGUUUCUGGUAAACCUUGUUUAAUAGUGUGAAACAAAGCGCCUUUCUUACUGACAGCGGAUUGCUUUGAGUCAAAUUCUGGAUUUUCAAUCUCAGUUUGAAAGACUAGUGAAAAACAUUACCAAUUGUGGCCAUUGAUUACAGGUGGGUUGACCAGUUAAGCGUUUCCAUUUGCUUAGCUUUUACACUGACCUUCCCUGUAAGUAUAUAUAUACAUAUAUAUGUAUAUAUUAUUUUAUUUUUUUUAUGACUCCUGGGGCUUGAUUUCUUUACCUGUUCAUUAAAGGUCCUAAUUCCGAAUGCCCUCCAAAGAUUAUUAUGGUAUUUCAAAACCUAAGCUGUAUUUUAUGCAAAUUGUUAGACCGGUUUUCAGAAGAGGCCUUCUACCUUCGAAUCGACUUGCUAUUUUAGAUUGUUUAAGAACAUUUUUGACAUAGAUAUCGUUAAAGAAUGGCUUGAGCCAGAGGUUUUUGUUUUGACCACCCUUUUUUUCGUCUGUAUCUGUCUUUGUUUCUGGGGGUUUCGGUUAUCUGUCUUUGUUUUUAAGAUGCCUAAAAGACGUAAGUUUAUUCUGCGCCCGGGUUGAGAAAAACAGUUGCGGCUAUGGACGUUGUAUACGCUUUGGAACGUCAGGGUUGCACUCUGUACGGUUUCGUUAGUUAAUAUACGCGUACCAUUUUGAACCCACUGGCUCUUUUCCUGGCCACCAGUAUUUUAAGAAACUGAAAUUGUAGAUUAAUUUCAAAUCGCAUGUAAUUUUCAGUGUUAUUACUAAAAAUGGAAAACGAAUGAUCGUGCUAGCUUAACUUAAUAGUAAGACAUUCGUUAUGGAAAUGCGCCUUGAAUUUACAAAUUCGCAUUUAAAUUAACAUUGUAGCUUCCACAGCUUCCUAAAAAUUAGUGUAUUUACAAAGACACAGACGGAUGCCUUUCGCACACUUGAGAAUUUUUAGACAACUUCACCCUAUUAGGAGAGGACUACCCUAAUAGAAAGGUGCCUUAGCAUGUAGGAAAUUUUUCUAUUAACAAUAAUCUUCUUCUGGCAUAGUUUUAAAUGGAAUAGAUGGCGUUUGAUUAAACAAGCGGAACAGCAGCUGUUUUUUUUUAUUGUUUUGUGACUCAGAAAGAACCGUUUGAUUGGAGAAAUAAGAAACGAUAUUCUUGGUGCUCGUGUACUGGGUCACAGCCUUUGUUCCUUCAGACACAACGUGCUUGGCCAACUCACACAGGGUAAUCUCCCCCGGUGGCCAACUGAAGCAGUGUCUCCCCCUGCCUUGGUUGACGGCAACUUUUGAAGGUAUUAUUUUGCACUUCAAAACUUGCAAAUCAUUGUAUUGUGUGGAGAAAAGUCAAUAAAAAUUUUUAUUUGA
This is a long non-coding RNA of Daphnia magna, 5244 nucleotides long. RefSeq lists it as uncharacterized. The record is from RefSeq and is a predicted model, not a curated record. Lineage: Eukaryota; Metazoa; Arthropoda; Branchiopoda; Diplostraca; Daphniidae. The transcript is spliced from 10 exons.